Molecule: long non-coding RNA, 758 nt
Organism: Myotis brandtii (Brandt's bat)
Lineage: Eukaryota; Metazoa; Chordata; Mammalia; Chiroptera; Vespertilionidae
Exons: 3
Source: RefSeq, a predicted model, not a curated record
GUCUGUUGUUGAAACCACCCAGUUUGUGGUACUUUGUUACUGUACUAGUAGCUCUUGAAAACUAAUACACUCCCUUUCUCUAGAAUUGUAGAGCUGUUCCAUUCCACUUCUGGCUAAUCCAGUCCUGGUUUCCUGAACUGAGGUCUCAGAGAAGGUGGGCGGGGCUGUGGCGACCUUGUCAAUCAAAAUGGCUCCUGCAGAGCUUGCCAGAUCUGCUCUUCUCCACCCCAGAGGCUGACCUGCAUGGGCUGCAAUCAACAGCCUCCCUUGUCCCCAGCUCCACUGUGUCUGUUACUGGAGAGCCCAGCAGAUAAGGGGGAAGAAAAUAGAGGCUGCUUUUGGCUGGCUGUGUUACGGAAUGGCUCCUCUCCUUCCCAACCAGUGUGAUGGGCCCGUCCUCUUUAACCCCUGCGAUCUAAGAGUUCAGAAGAAGUGAUAGAUAUGACUUCUGAGCCUGGGCCAUAAAAGAUGCUGAGCUUUCUCCGGGGAGCUGGCUCUGUGGGAAGUCCGUCCACGUAAGAAGUCUGACAACCCUGAACCCACCUGCUGGAGAGACCAUGUGAAACAGUUCAGGAGGCAGCCCAAGCUGAGCUCCCAGCCAACUGCCCAGCAUCAACUGCCAGCCACGUGGAUGAGCCAACUUGGACGUCUGGCCCAAUCAUGCCUUCAGAUGACUGCGGUCUCAGCCAACAUCUAAAUGUAGCCUUGUGAGAGAUCCCAAGGCUCACCAGAGCUCCUUAAUUUCCUGACUCAGAAAA